RNAcentral lists this long non-coding RNA (1787 nucleotides) under Arabidopsis thaliana (thale cress). RNAcentral's name for it is "ncRNA (AT5G09175)". Lineage: Eukaryota; Viridiplantae; Streptophyta; Magnoliopsida; Brassicales; Brassicaceae. The record is from RNAcentral.
UUUGAAAGUUGGAAAAGAAGUAAAAUCGAAUCUUCCUUAGUAUCAUUAUUCAUUAUCUAAGCAAAAAUAUCUUUCAUAUCUGAUGUAUACGAUAUAUGAACUAAGAAUAUACACCAAUUACUAGUUCAGACAAAUACAAAUACUGUAUUGUACAGUUUCUGUUGUGCCUCAGAAAUAAAGAUUCUCUUCUUCUAUGGAUUCUCUGACUGCCUUCAAUAUCCAUGGCUUGAGUUUCUUGGUGGUAACUAUGAUCCCCGUUUUGUGAGCAAGAUACUUUCCUUUCGAGAAGUCCAGAGAUUUCCCUGUAGCAUCACACACUACGCCUCCAGCUUCUGCACAAGGUUAUUUUGUUCUCUUCUUUAUAUGUAUAGUCCUCUUGUAUUUUCGUUAUACAUUAAAAAAAAAUGACAUGUGGGUAUUAAAUCUAGAUCCCUUAUGUGUUUGAUAACUAGCCAGUAACAUGUUAAGUUAUAAAGUGAAGUAGAGCCAACAGAUCUCAGCGUUUAAAAAGGUUUUAUGUACUGUACCUGUAGUGAUUAUUGAACCAGGUGCAUGGUCCCAAAUACACUCACGGUAUCCAUUGAGAGUGAAACGCAAGUAUAUCUCUGCGUCUCCUCGCGACAAAGCCGCAUACUUAGCUUGGCUAUCGAUCCUUACAGGUAAUGCUUUAAUCCCGAGUUUCUACUCUAACCGUAAACAGAUUGUUUUAGUGGAAAGAAUCCCACUUGGUUAUGGCCUACUUACGAGCACAUUGUAAUAGAAAGAAAAAAAACAAGUUGUUACCUUGGCAAUGGUACCAUGGAUGGGAAUUGGUUUGUGAUUUAUCACAUGGUUUAGCUUUGGACAGGUGAAUGAUACCUUUUGUGGCAGAGAAUUGCCUUUGAGCGAUUGCACGUAAGUCCCUGAACCCGUUGUAGCAAAGAAAAGACAGCCAACAUCUUCCUGGGAAGAAUUAUCAGUCGCGCAAACCGCAGAAGCCAAAGGAAGAUUUGGGCAAGCCAUGACACCAAGCACCACUUUGCCUUCCACAAGCAAGGCUAACCCCACCGCGUAUUGCUCUCCUCUUACAAAUCUAAACAAGCAGAGAAGUUUAGCAACCAUGUUUUUAAGUGGCUGAAAAGAUUAAGUAUAGAGAAAGCAUAGAGAUUAGAGAGAUUGUCACCCUCUGGUUCCAUCUAUAGGAUCAAGAACCCAGUGGGAACCUUUGCAACCGCCUUCUGAUUUACCGCAGUCUAUAGCAUUUAACACAUCAUCUGUGGAUAGAGGAGAGCUGGUGUACGAUUCCUCAGAGGCUAGAGUAUCUUUCACAAGCUUUGCAAUAUCUUCUAGAAACGCCUCACUUCCAUUCUUCCGCAGAUCUCCAGUUUCCUGUUGGAGCUCCCUCUCCAAUACAAGACUAACCACAGCUUGUGAGCCUGAAGAAACCAUCCGUUAAUGGGAGUGGUAAAAGACAUUUUCUUGAUUGAUUUUAUAGAGAAAACAAGAACUUAGCAAAAACAGAAACUUGAAGUUGAAUUCGCGGGUAUGCAAACGACGAGGUACAAACCGUAAUCAGCUGCAGUAACCGGACUUCUAUCGGAUUUUUUCCAAACUUGGGAUUGCAAAAGAGUCUUCUGCACUUCCUGAUUCAUUACAUAAUAAGGUUUGUUUUAGUUUCAGCGAUUCAUAUAAGCUCCAUGCUCUGACUCUAGCUCAGUAGCUUGUUACCUGGCUGAGACGAGCAGCUAGAGUGACGGCUUUCUUUGCAGCGGCUAGCUCCUUCUCAUAAGACAUUGAAAAGCUUCAAG